Molecule: ribosomal RNA, 465 nt
Filed under: uncultured bacterium
Lineage: Bacteria
Description: partial 16S ribosomal RNA
Rfam family: Bacterial small subunit ribosomal RNA
Source: RNAcentral
GACGAACGCUGGCGGCGUGCUUAACACAUGCAAGUCGAACGGAAAGGCCCCUUCGGGGGUACGCGAGUGGCGAACGGGUGAGUAACACGGUAGUAACCUGCCCUUGACUUCGGGAUAACUUAAGGAAACUGGGGCGAAUACCGGAUAGGAAUCCUUGCUGCAUGGGGGGGGUUGGAAAGCUUCGGCGGUUUUGGGUGGACUCGCGGCGUAUCAGCUUGUUGGUGGGGUAGUGGCUUACCAAGGCUUUGACGGGUAGCCGGCCUGAGAGGGCGACCGGCCACCUUGGGACUGAGGUACGGCCCAGAUGCCUACGGGAGGCAGCAGGGGGGAAUAUUGCACCAUGGGCGGAAGGCGGAUGCAGCAACGCCGCGGGCGGGAUGACGGCCUUCGGGUUGAAAACCGCGUUCAGCAGGGGCGAAGCUUGUGGUGACGGUACCUGCAGAAGAAGCACCGGCUAACUACGUG